UUCCGGUUGAUCCUGCCGGAAGUCACUGCUAUUGGGAUUCGACUAAGCCAUGCGAGUCGAGAGGGUUCGGCCCUCGGCUGACGGCUCAGUAACACGUGGAUAAUCUGCUCUUAGGUGGAGGAUACCCUCGGGAAACUGAGAAUAAUACUCCAUAGGUCUGGGAUGCUGGAAUGCACCUAGGCUCAAAGUUCCGGCGCCUAAGGAUGAGUCUGCGGACUAUCAGGUUGUAGUCAGGGUAAUGGCCUGACUAGCCUACGACGGAUAUGGGUUGUGAGAGCAAUAACCCAGAGAUGAUAUCUGAGACACGAUAUCAGGCCCUACGGGGCGCAGCAGGCGCGAAAACUUCACAAUGUGCGAAAGCACGAUGAGGGAAUCCCAAGUGCUUGCACGUAAGUGUAAGCUGUUUCUAUGUUUAAAACGCAUAGAGAGUAAGAGCUGGGUAAGACGGGUGCCAGCCGCCGCGGUAAUACCCGCGCCACGAAUGGUGAUCACGAUUAUUGGGUCUAAAGCGUCCGUAGCCGGUUUAGUGAGUUCUUGGUGAAAUCUGCUAGCUAACUAGCAAGCUUGCUGAGAAUACUGCUAAACUUGGGAUCGGGAUAGGAUGAAGGUAUUCCAUGAGUAGGGGUUAAAUCCUUUAAUCCAUGGAGGACCACCGGUGGCGAAGGCGUUCAUCUGGAACGAAUCCGACGGUGAGGGACGAAAGCUAGGGGAGCAAACGGGAUUAGAUACCCCGGUAGUCCUAGCUGUAAACGAUGCCCGCUUGAUGUUGCAGGCUUUACGGGAGCUUGCAGUGUUGGAGUGUAGAUGUUAAGCGGGCCACCUGGGGAGUACGGUCGCAAGGCUGAAACUUAAGGAAUUGGCGGGAGAGCACACAAGAGUGGAGACUGCGGUUUAAUUGGAAUCAACGCCGG
This 911-nucleotide ribosomal RNA is filed under the name uncultured archaeon. Its description in RNAcentral is "partial 16S ribosomal RNA". It matches the Rfam family "Archaeal small subunit ribosomal RNA", at positions 1 to 921 of the family's 1478-position model. The record is from RNAcentral.